CGUAGGGUGCAAGCGUUGUCCGGAAUUACUGGGCGUAAAGAGCUCGUAGGCGGUUUGUCGCGUCGUCUGUGAAAACCAGCAGCUCAACUGUUGGCUUGCAGGCGAUACGGGCAGACUUGAGUAUUUCAGGGGAGACUGGAAUUCCUGGUGUAGCGGUGAAAUGCGCAGAUAUCAGGAGGAACACCGGUGGCGAAGGCGGGUCUCUGGGAAAUAACUGACGCUGAGGAGCGAAAGCGUGGGUAGCGAACAGGAUU
RNAcentral lists this ribosomal RNA (254 nucleotides) under uncultured bacterium. RNAcentral describes it as "partial 16S ribosomal RNA". It matches the Rfam family "Bacterial small subunit ribosomal RNA", at positions 526 to 779 of the family's 1533-position model. The record is from RNAcentral.